Molecule: ribosomal RNA, 395 nt
Filed under: uncultured bacterium
Lineage: Bacteria
Description: bacterial SSU rRNA
Rfam family: Bacterial small subunit ribosomal RNA
Source: RNAcentral
AGUGAACGCUGGCGGCAGGCCUAAUACAUGCAAGUCGAACGGCAGCACAGCAGAGCUUGCUCUGUGGGUGGCGAGUGGCGGACGGGUGAGGAAUACGUGGGAAUCUGCCCAGUCGUGGGGGAUAACGUAGGGAAACUUACGCUAAUACCGCAUGCGCCCUUCGGGGGAAAGCCGGGGACCUUCGGGCCUGGCGCGAUUGGAUGAGCCCACGUCGGAUUAGCUAGUUGGCGGGGUAAAGGCCCACCAAGGCGACGAUCCGUAGCUGGUCUGAGAGGAUGAUCAGCCACACUGGAACUGAGACACGGUCCAGACUCCUACGGGAGGCAGCAGUAGGGAAUAUUGGACAAUGGGCGCAAGCCUGAUCCAGCCAUGCCGCGUGAGUGAAGAAGGCCCUC